This 500-nucleotide ribosomal RNA is filed under the name uncultured bacterium. RNAcentral describes it as "partial 16S ribosomal RNA". It matches the Rfam family "Bacterial small subunit ribosomal RNA", at positions 30 to 523 of the family's 1533-position model. The record is from RNAcentral.
AUUGAACGCUGGCGGCAUGCCUUACACAUGCAAGUCGAACGGCAGCACGGGAGCAAUCCUUGUGGCGAGUGGCGAACGGGUGAGUAAUAUAUCGGAACGUGCCCAGUCGUGGGGGAUAACGCAGCGAAAGCUGUGCUAAUACCGCAUACGAUCUAAGGAUGAAAGCGGGGGAUCGCAAGACCUCGCGCGAUUGGAGCGGCCGAUAUCAGAUUAGCUAGUUGGUGGGGUAAAGGCCCACCAAGGCGACGAGCUGUAGCUGGUCUGAGAGGACGACCAGCCACACUGGAACUAAGACACGGUCCAGACUCCUACGGGAGGCAGCAGUGGGGAAUUUUGGACAAUGGGCGCAAGCCUGAUCCAGCAAUGCCGCGUGCAGGAUGAAGGCCUUCGGGUUGUAAACUGCUUUUGUACGGAACGAAACGGCCCUUUCUAAUACAGGGGGCUAAUGACGGUACCGUAAGAAUAAGCACCGGCUAACUACGUGCCAGCAGCCGCAGUAA